RNAcentral lists this long non-coding RNA (540 nucleotides) under Elaeis guineensis (African oil palm). RNAcentral's name for it is "long non-coding RNA (EGUI_LNC043360)". The record is from RNAcentral. Lineage: Eukaryota; Viridiplantae; Streptophyta; Magnoliopsida; Arecales; Arecaceae.
GGCCAAUUAAAUUAAGAUCUCAAUUUAUCUUAGAAUCGUCCACCCAUUGAGGUUGACAAGAGUUUUAAUUUUUAAAAACUUUGCAAAAGUGGUGAAUGGCCUUCACAAAAUAGCGGACUGGUUUUAUAUAACACCUCGACUUACACCAUUAAGUCUUUGUGCAACUACUAAAUUUCAGCUUUAUAGAUCCUUCUCCGUUAAAUAUUUUUAUUAAGAACCAUAUCUAACCUUAUUCAAAGCUUCUAAUAAUUAAUGUUUAUAUUUUUGAGACAGGUUAGCUAUCCAAUAUUAACCCUCCAACUUUCUCAUCUUGACUUGAAAUCAUGCAUGCGCUAUAAUAGAUCCAAGAUUUAGAACCGUGAUCUUAGCAUAUUUUCAAGGAUAUACGGAAUUCCUCACUUUAGCUGGUUAACUCUUUCGCAAACCAUUAAUUUUGAGAAGGCAAUAACCAGUUGAUUGGGGUAUAAAACAAAGCAUCUAUAGUAAUCUAUAGUAUUGCCCCUGACCAUUUCCGUUGCCAACUAGGGGAUUUAAAUUGCU